GACGAACCGUCCCAAACGUUAUUCGGAAUUACUGGGCUUAAAGGGUGCGUAGGCGGCGCAGAAAGUCGGGUGUGAAAUCCCUCGGCUCAACCGAGGAACGGCGCUCGAAACUACUGUGCUCGAGGGAGACAGAGGUGAGCGGAACUCAGGGUGGAGCGGUGAAAUGCGUUGAUAUCCUGAGGAACACCGGUGGCGAAAGCGGCUCACUGGGUCUCUUCUGACGCUGAGGCACGAAAGCUAGGGUAGCGAACGGGAUUAGAAACCCGGGUAGU
This 272-nucleotide ribosomal RNA is filed under the name uncultured bacterium. RNAcentral's name for it is "partial 16S ribosomal RNA". It matches the Rfam family "Bacterial small subunit ribosomal RNA", at positions 524 to 794 of the family's 1533-position model. The record is from RNAcentral.